RNAcentral lists this ribosomal RNA (618 nucleotides) under Naganishia diffluens. RNAcentral describes it as "eukaryotic LSU rRNA". It matches the Rfam family "Eukaryotic large subunit ribosomal RNA", at positions 39 to 659 of the family's 3401-position model. Lineage: Eukaryota; Fungi; Basidiomycota; Tremellomycetes; Filobasidiales; Filobasidiaceae. The record is from RNAcentral.
CAUAUCAAUAAGCGGAGGAAAAGAAGACUAACAAGGAUUCCCCUAGUAACGGCGAGUGAAGCGGGAAGAGCUCAAAUUUGAAAUCUAGUAGCCUUCGGCUGCUCGAGUUGUAAUCUAGAGAAGUGUUUUCCGUGCCGGCCCAUGUACAAGUCCCUUGGAACAGGGCGUCAUAGAGGGUGAGAAUCCCGUCCUUGACAUGGACCCCCGGUGCUCUGUGAUACACUUUCAACGAGUCGAGUUGUUUGGGAAUGCAGCUCAAAAUGGGUGGUGAAUUCCAUCUAAAGCUAAAUAUUGGCGAGAGACCGAUAGCGAACAAGUACCGUGAGGGAAAGAUGAAAAGCACUUUGGAAAGAGAGUUAAACAGUACGUGAAAUUGUUGAAAGGGAAACGAUUGAAGUCAGUCAUGCUCUUUGGUAUUUAUAUCAUUGAGUGGGGUCAACAUCAGUUUUGAGCGAUGGAUAAAGGCACUAGGAAGGUAGCACUCUCGGGUGAACUUAUAGCCUAGCGUCAUAUACAUUGUUUGGGACUGAGGAACGCAGCAUGCCUUUAUGGCCGGGAUUCGUCCACGUACAUGCUUAGGAUGUUGACAUAAUGCGCUUUAAACGACCCGUCUUGAAA